Molecule: non-coding RNA, 28 nt
Filed under: Mus musculus (house mouse)
Lineage: Eukaryota; Metazoa; Chordata; Mammalia; Rodentia; Muridae
Source: RNAcentral
UGGCAAAAUGCAAAAGUUCAGGGUCUCU